Molecule: ribosomal RNA, 453 nt
Filed under: uncultured organism
Description: partial 16S ribosomal RNA
Rfam family: Bacterial small subunit ribosomal RNA
Source: RNAcentral
UACACUCCUACGGGAGGCAGCAGUGGGGAAUAUUGGACAAUGGGCGCAAGCCUGAUCCAGCCAUGCCGCGUGAGUGAUGAAGGCCCUAGGGUUGUAAAGCUCUUUCACCGGUGAAGAUAAUGACGGUAACCGGAGAAGAAGCCCCGGCUAACUUCGUGCCAGCAGCCGCGGUAAUACGAAGGGGGCUAGCGUUGUUCGGAUUUACUGGGCGUAAAGCGCACGUAGGCGGACUAUUAAGUCAGGGGUGAAAUCCCGGGGCUCAACCCCGGAACUGCCUUUGAUACUGGUAGUCUUGAGUUCGAGAGAGGUGAGUGGAAUUCCGAGUGUAGAGGUGAAAUUCGUAGAUAUUCGGAGGAACACCAGUGGCGAAGGCGGCUCACUGGCUCGAUACUGACGCUGAGGUGCGAAAGCGUGGGGAGCAAACAGGAUUAGAAACCCGGGUAGUCCCAUGAU